This 498-nucleotide ribosomal RNA is filed under the name uncultured bacterium. RNAcentral describes it as "partial 16S ribosomal RNA". It matches the Rfam family "Bacterial small subunit ribosomal RNA", at positions 29 to 507 of the family's 1533-position model. The record is from RNAcentral.
AUGAACGCUGGCGGCGUGCCUAAUACAUGCCCGUCGAGCGAACAGACGAGAGUGCUUGCACUCUCUGACGUUAGCGGCGGACGGGUGAGUAACACGUGGGUAACCUACCUAUAAGACUGGGAUAACUUCGGGAAACCGGAGCUAAUACCGGAUAAUAUUUAGCUUCGCAUGAAGCAAUAGUGAAAGACGGUUCUGCUGUCACUUAUAGAUGGACCCGCGGUGUAUUAGCUAGUUGGUGAGGUAACGGCUCACCAAGGCAACGAUACAUAGCCGACCUGAGAGGGUGAUCGGUCACACUGGGACUGAGACACGGACCAGACUCCUACGGGAGGCAGCAGUAGGGAAUCUUCCGCAAUGGACGAAAGUCUGACGGAGCAAUGCCGCGUGAGUGAAGAAGGUUUUCGGAUCGUAAAACUCUGUUGUAAGGGAAGAACAAGUACGUUAGUAACUGAACGUACCUUGACGGUACCUUACCAGAAAGCCACGGCUAACUACGUG